GGCCGCGGUACUUUGACCGUGCGAAGGUAGCACAAUAACGAGCCUCCUAAUUAGAGGAUAGAAUGAAUGAACCAACGAAAAAGACGCUGUCUCAUAUGUACACAAUGAAACUUAUAUAUGGGUGAAAAAGCCCAUGUUUCAAUUAAAGACAAGAAGACCCUAUAAGCUUUUUUAAACCUUAAUAUCUCUAAUUAUCAAUUAUUUAGUUGGGGCGACUCAAAGACAUAAACACUUUUCAAUACUUAGAGCUUAUUGCUCCCCAUCCUUAUCCCAACACAAUCAAGCAAGUUACUAUAGGGAUAACAGGCUAAUAUUUUCCACGAGCACGUAUCAACGAAAAUGCUUGGCACCUCGAUGUUGGCUUAGGGAAUCUAUCUCACGCAGAAGUAAGAUCAGAAGGUUUGUUCAACCAUUAAUCCCCUA
Molecule: ribosomal RNA, 423 nt
Filed under: Syllis gracilis complex lineage 1 PAC-2017
Lineage: Eukaryota; Metazoa; Annelida; Polychaeta; Phyllodocida; Syllidae
Description: partial 16S ribosomal RNA
Rfam family: Bacterial large subunit ribosomal RNA
Source: RNAcentral